GCCUAGUUAGCUUAGUUGGUAGUGCGUCUGCCUUGUAAGCGCUAGGCCGCGGGUUCGAUUCUCGCCCGGGGCA
RNAcentral lists this transfer RNA (73 nucleotides) under Diaphorina citri (Asian citrus psyllid). It matches the Rfam family "tRNA". Rfam says of the family: Transfer RNA (tRNA) molecules are approximately 80 nucleotides in length. Their secondary structure includes four short double-helical elements and three loops (D, anti-codon, and T loops). Further hydrogen bonds mediate the characteristic L-shaped molecular structure. tRNAs have two regions of fundamental functional importance: the anti-codon, which is responsible for specific mRNA codon recognition, and the 3' end, to which the tRNAs corresponding amino acid is attached (by aminoacyl-tRNA synthetases). tRNAs cope with the degeneracy of the genetic code in two manners: having more than one tRNA (with a specific anti-codon) for a particular amino acid; and 'wobble' base-pairing, i.e. permitting non-standard base-pairing at the 3rd anti-codon position. The record is from Rfam by way of RNAcentral. Lineage: Eukaryota; Metazoa; Arthropoda; Insecta; Hemiptera; Psyllidae.